Molecule: long non-coding RNA, 986 nt
Filed under: Gallus gallus (chicken)
Lineage: Eukaryota; Metazoa; Chordata; Aves; Galliformes; Phasianidae
Source: RNAcentral
AGCAGCGCCCCACGGCAGCGCCGGGUUGGGGUUUCGCAGCACUUCCACCCCCCGGAGCUGCGUAAAGACAACCCGAGGUCUUUAUUCAUCUCCUAUGUACAAAUCUCAGAGCCGCGGCCCAAAGCAGAGCGCAAACACGGGACAGAGCAGCGGAUACAUUCAGUGCAGCGCCGGGGGCGGCCCCGGCUCUGCUCGGGGGCGACGCGGUGCAACGCCUCAGCCUUUGGGGAAGGGGCGAAGGCCGACAGCGGGCGCCGUUCCUGUAUGUACAGCAGCCGCACGGCGCUGAGCCACGCGGGGCUCCUCUCCCCGCAGAGGGACCCCCUGCUGCCAACCGCGGAGGAGGGGUGGGAAGCGGGGCGGUGAGGCCGGGCCCUGCAGCCCCACGCAGCGAACAACGCGCGGCCCCCUCAGCUUCACCUCCUCCUGCGGUUUUCGUUGCGUUCUUUCGGCACUGAGCCACCCCACGCGGAGGCCCCGAGAGCGUCCCACGCUGCGGCACCGCCCACAGCGGCUGCUGAGCACCACUGCAGGGGAACGUCCCGCCCCGGGGGCUCCCGCAGCGCCCAACCGGAGCUCCGCAGCACCGUCCGUCCCCACCGGCACCGUCCGUCCCGCAGCGCUGAGCCCCCCCCGGCGGCGCCGCUCACCUCCGUGCUCCCGGCGGGCGGAGAAGCGCCGACGCUCAGCGCGGCCACGGGAGGAUGGCGGUGGGGUGAGGGGAGGAAGGGGCGGCCGCAGCCCCGCGGCGGUGGGCUUCGGGGCGGCGCUUCCGGGCGCUGUCGGGCUCCGACCCGUGGCGGCACUAUGUGUAGAAGAUGAUCUCUGGGAUCUGUCCGUCCUCCACCGAAGUGCCGUUGUUGUUCCCGGCCGCGUAGCAGAAGGUGAAGCAGGUCUUGGCGCCGCUGGUGGGCGAUUCGUGGAUCACCUUGCGCAGCCCUUUGGUGCCGUAGUGGGAAUCGGGGCCCUUCAGAGUAGCGCACGCC